RNAcentral lists this ribosomal RNA (525 nucleotides) under Trachylepis varia. RNAcentral describes it as "partial 16S ribosomal RNA". It matches the Rfam family "Bacterial large subunit ribosomal RNA", at positions 1841 to 2621 of the family's 2925-position model. Lineage: Eukaryota; Metazoa; Chordata; Lepidosauria; Squamata; Scincidae. The record is from RNAcentral.
AAGUAUUAAAGGUCCCGCCUGCCCAGUGAAAGACUUUCAACGGCCGCGGUAUUCUAACCGUGCAAAGGUAGCGUAAUCACUUGUCUUCUAAAUAAAGACCAGUAUGAACGGCUAAAUGAGGACAAACCUGUCUCAUAUGACUAAUCAGUGAAACUGAUCUAUCAGUACAAAAGCUGAUAUAAAAACAUAAGACGAGAAGACCCCGUGGAGCUUAAAAUAAAGCACUAACCUUCACGCUCUAGUCUAUUAUUUUGAGUUGGGGCGACUUCGGAACAAAACAAAACUUCCGAGCACAGAACCACAUCUUCUAACCAAGGCCAACAAGCCAAACAAACUGACCCGGUCUCACCGAUCAACGAACCAAGUUACCCCGGGGAUAACAGCGCUAUCUUCUUCAAGAGUCCCUAUCAACAAGAAGGUUUACGACCUCGAUGUUGGAUCAGGACACCCAAAUGGUGCAGCCGCUAUUAAAGGUUCGUUUGUUCAACGAUUAACAGUCCUACGUGAUCUGAGUUCAGACCGGAG